GGCGGCCAGAGCGACAGGGAAACUCCUGAACCCAUUCCGAACUCAGAAGAUAAGCCUGUCCACGUUCUGCAUUGUACUUAGGUGCGCGAGCCCUCGGGAACUGUAGAUCGCUGCCAUGCUCACCUAAUAUCUUUUUAUUAGAGCUUCAAGCCGAGCUUGGGCUCCAGAAUUACUGCACAUUAAACCCAACUUAUCCUCGCUGCACGGAUGACGGUU
This 216-nucleotide ribosomal RNA is filed under the name Methanothrix soehngenii GP6. Lineage: Archaea; Methanobacteriati; Methanobacteriota; Methanomicrobia; Methanotrichales; Methanotrichaceae. The record is from RNAcentral.